RNAcentral lists this long non-coding RNA (1515 nucleotides) under Mus musculus (house mouse). RNAcentral describes it as "predicted gene 28095". The record is from RNAcentral. Lineage: Eukaryota; Metazoa; Chordata; Mammalia; Rodentia; Muridae.
ACAUAAUUCUAUUCCUAUUGUCAGGUUGGGCCGAGUAGUUAGACCUUACAGUAUUUUCUCAUUUCGCAAUGUUUGCAAAUCAAUAAGGAGAAAGCCUGAACAAUGAGGUGACAAGCUGGCCAGACCAGGCCCUCCUUAGGCCCCAGUCGCCCAGGAGAGGGCCAAAUAUGGCCGAGCUUCACCACUGGCCAUGUAAGAAAGUGUCUAUCUCAUGCCUCCUUCAGUAUUAGAUCUGAGUGCUAAGUGUAGUAUGACCAGACCAAACACAGAGCCCUGGGAGAACAAUGGUCUGUCUCUGUGAGCCACUCCCCUUUGGUGCUUAUGGUCUCCUGAGCAAUGGUCACUUGGGGUGUGACUUGAAAAGGUGCAGACUGGUCUAGGCAGGUGGACUUGGGGUAGGCAGAGCUGAUUCAACAGUGGGGCCUUUUGCCUGGGUGGAGGUGUGUAGCUUGGCUCCUUUGGAGCCUCUGUAGACUGAGCACCCAAGUACAUGGGGACCAGCUAGUCACAGGGUUAAACAGAAUCUAUGAAGGAAUAUGUCAAUUGGUGACUUUUUUUUUUCUUAAAGAUGAAAGCCUGGAUUUUGUUUGGCUCCUGGGACUUCCUGUAUUCUUGCUUUUCCCCUUUUAUAUCACUUCCAUCAAGAUGAUAUACUGUCUCAAGAUGAUUUCACUGAAGCUGGCGACAAAUUUGGAGAGCCCACAUUCCUAUCGCUAGCCUAGCCUCUGGCCUCAGCCUUCAUGUUCCUGGUGGAUUUCCAUAAUACAUGGCAUGCCAAUCCUGCCUGAAACUGAAGUGUUUAUUCCCACCCCACCCCACUCUUCUUUUAGAAAUGGCAACCCACUCACCCACUCAACCAGAUAAAGCCCCCAGGGUUCGGCUUCAUCCCACCUCUCUGCCACUUUUCUCCACCUGCCCAUUAACCAGCUCAGCUGGUUCUUUUCCAGCAUUCCUACAGAAUCCAGCUCUCACCACCUGUCCAGCUUCUGCUAGCACACAGAGCUGUCGGCUUCUGGGGACAUACGACAUCUUUCUAGCUUUCCUGCUCUCCCCUUUCUAGCCAAAGCAUAGCGGGUGUAUGUCGGCUAAAAUACAAACAAGGCUGGCUUCCUACCUUGCUCAGAACAUUCUAGGCACUUCUCAUUUCUUUUAGAAUAACUCCCAACCCCUCACUAACAGCCACAAGUGUGAGUGGGUCCCACCUGCAGCUCACCACAUAUGAGCACCCACCAUGGGCUCCAGCACAGCAGCCUCUCCUUCUUUGAACUCCUCUGUUCACUCCUCCUCAUGGAUUAUCACAUAAUUAUCCUGACAUACUUCCACACCCCUCCGUCCUCAGUCUUCUCUCCAGGGUCAUCUCCUACCCUCUGGUUCCAAAGGAGUCACACCACACCACAACCUGUGUCUUUUCUCCUCAAACUGCCUAAAUCCCAGCCCCCCCCCCAAAAAAAAUGUCUCUAAAGUCUUAUCAUGUAUUUAAUAUUUGCUUCCUUCCUUAUAGUCUGUGUGUCCCAU